UACGUAGGGGGCAAGCGUUGUCUGGAAUCAUUGGGCGUAAAGAGCGUGUAGGCGGCUCGAUAAGUCUGCUGUGAAAGUCCAGGGCUCAACCCUGGAAGGCCGGUGGAAACUGUCGGGCUAGAGUCCGGAAGAGGCGAGUGGAAUUCCCGGUGUAGCGGUGAAAUGCGCAGAUAUCGGGAGGAACACCAAUGGCGAAGGCAGCUCGCUGGGACGGUACUGACGCUGAGGUGCGAAAGCGUGGGGAGCAAACAGG
RNAcentral lists this ribosomal RNA (253 nucleotides) under uncultured bacterium. RNAcentral's name for it is "partial 16S ribosomal RNA". It matches the Rfam family "Bacterial small subunit ribosomal RNA", at positions 524 to 776 of the family's 1533-position model. The record is from RNAcentral.